RNAcentral lists this non-coding RNA (29 nucleotides) under Mus musculus (house mouse). The record is from RNAcentral. Lineage: Eukaryota; Metazoa; Chordata; Mammalia; Rodentia; Muridae.
UGGGUAUCAUAGUUGAAGUCCUUCCUCAA